Non-coding RNA from Acanthosepion pharaonis, 112 nucleotides. The record is from the annotation of a GenBank genome assembly. Lineage: Eukaryota; Metazoa; Mollusca; Cephalopoda; Sepiida; Sepiidae.
GACGGCCAGAUCAUGUUCAAACACCGGUUUUGGUCUGAUCACCGAAGUUAAGCAACGUCCAUUCUGGUCAGUAACAAGAUGGGUCACCACUUGGGAAUACCAGGUGCUGUGA